This 468-nucleotide ribosomal RNA is filed under the name uncultured bacterium. RNAcentral's name for it is "partial 16S ribosomal RNA". It matches the Rfam family "Bacterial small subunit ribosomal RNA", at positions 28 to 507 of the family's 1533-position model. The record is from RNAcentral.
GACGAACGCUGGCGGCGUGCUUAACACAUGCCAGUCGAACGGAAAGGCCCUGCUUUUGUGGGGUGCUCGAGUGGCGAACGGGUGAGUAACACGUGAGUAACCUGCCCUUGACUUUGGGAUGACUUCAGGGAACUGGGGCUAAUACCGGAUAGGAGCUCCUGCUGCAUGGGGGGGGUUGGAAAGUUUCGGCGGUUGGGGAUGGACUCGCGGCUUAUCAGCUUGUUGGUGGGGUAGUGGCUUACCAAGGCUUUGACGGGUAGCCGGCCUGAGAGGGGGACCGGCGACCUUGGGACUGCGAUACGGCCCAGACUCCUACGGGAGGCAGCAGUGGGGAAUAUUGCACAAUGGGCGGAAGCCUGAGGCAGCAACGCCGCGUGCGGGAUGACGGCCUUCGGGUUGUAAACCGCUUUCGCCUGUGACGAAGCGUGAGUGACGGUAAUGGGUAAAGAAGCACCGGCUAACUACGUG